Molecule: ribosomal RNA, 299 nt
Filed under: Photobacterium phosphoreum
Lineage: Bacteria; Pseudomonadati; Pseudomonadota; Gammaproteobacteria; Vibrionales; Vibrionaceae
Description: partial 23S ribosomal RNA
Rfam family: Bacterial large subunit ribosomal RNA
Source: RNAcentral
GUUGUAUGGUUAAGUGACUAAGCGUACACGGUGGAUGCCUUGGCAGUCAGAGGCGAUGAAGGACGUAUUAACUUGCGAUAAGCCCAGAUUAGGCAGUAAAAGCCACUUGAGUCUGGGAUUUCCGAAUGGGGAAACCCACUUGCAUAAGCAAGUAUCAUUAACUGAAUACAUAGGUUAAUGAAGCGAACCGGGGGAACUGAAACAUCUAAGUACCCCGAGGAAGAGAAAUCAACCGAGAUUCCGGUAGUAGCGGCGAGCGAAACCGGAUUAGCCCUUAAGCUAGUUCUGCGUUAGGUGAA